Molecule: long non-coding RNA, 214 nt
Filed under: Lathyrus oleraceus (garden pea)
Lineage: Eukaryota; Viridiplantae; Streptophyta; Magnoliopsida; Fabales; Fabaceae
Description: Pisum sativum (pea) long non-coding RNA (PSAT_LNC006207)
Source: RNAcentral
UUGGACUAAGUGGAUUUAGAUGUUGAUUAACCAGUAUUUAAUUUCUAUAAUAAUAGUAGGUUAAUUAGGAUUAGACUUAGGAUCGGUGAUUAAUUAGGAUUAAUCUUAGGAAUGGUAUGUAGUCAUUAGAAAUAAUUAGGAUAAUUGUUGGUUGUUUUUUUAGAAUAUUUUUGUUCAUUGUUUAGAUUUAAUUUGAUUGUGAUAAUUGUGUUUA